RNAcentral lists this unclassified non-coding RNA (279 nucleotides) under fungal sp. RNAcentral describes it as "partial internal transcribed spacer region". The stretch from base 1 to 46 matches the Rfam family "Eukaryotic small subunit ribosomal RNA", at positions 1786 to 1831 of the family's 1831-position model. Lineage: Eukaryota; Fungi. The record is from RNAcentral.
AAGUCGUAACAAGGUUUCCGUAGGUGAACCUGCGGAAGGAUCAUUAUUGAAACUUCAUCCGGGGCGCCGCGGCCCUCAGCACCGGUGGAAACGCCGUGUUGCGGGGGCCGCGCGUGCACUCGUCCAAACCAAACCCCUGUGAACCUUACGGGAUGGCCUUGGGUUAGCGCCCGGUGCCGUUCCGCUUUAUACAAACACUUAUCAAAGAAUGAACUGAAGGCGGUCUGACCGCUGGAUAACAAACUGAAACAACUUUCAACAACGGAUCUCUUGGCUCUC